ACUUUUAAAGGAUAAUAGCCAUCCACUGGCCUUAGGAGC
Molecule: transfer RNA, 39 nt
Filed under: Varanus exanthematicus
Lineage: Eukaryota; Metazoa; Chordata; Lepidosauria; Squamata; Varanidae
Description: partial tRNA-Leu
Source: RNAcentral